UAUUCCCACAGCAAGUUCCAACCCCCCUCCAGGGUCUACACUGUGCCCCAUGGGACUUGACUCUGUGCCUCUCUCCUGCUGUUCUGUGGUGGGCAGGCCUCUGCAAGCCUACCAGCUAGGUUGCUGAGAGGCCAAGGAAAGAGGCUGACAAAUCCAGUUCUGGGAAGAAAUGUCUGCUAAGGACUUACAGACAAAACUGAUGGUGAGGGCCACCAAAUGGUGAAUACUUGGAUCUGCCCUCCAGAAAACACUUUUUUUGUUGUUGUUGAGAUGGAGUCUUGCUCUGUUGCCAGGCUGGAGCACAGUGGCACAGUCUCGGCUCACUGCAACCUCCACCUCCCGGGUUCAAGUGAUUCUUCUGCCUCAGCCUCCCAAGUAGUCCUAGCUACUCAGGAGGCUGAGGCAGGAGAAUUGCUUGAACCCAGGAGGCGGAGGUCACAGUGAGCUGAGAUUGCACUCUGGCCUGGGCAACAACGCAAGACUCUGUCCCCUAAAUAAAUAA
RNAcentral lists this long non-coding RNA (502 nucleotides) under Callithrix jacchus (white-tufted-ear marmoset). RNAcentral's name for it is "lncRNA (ENSCJAG00000075702.1)". The record is from RNAcentral. Lineage: Eukaryota; Metazoa; Chordata; Mammalia; Primates; Cebidae.